UGAGGAAUUUUGCGCAAUGGGCGCAAUCCUGACGCAGCAACGCCGCGUGGGUGAUGAAGGCCUUCGGGUCGUAAAGCCCUGUCAGGUGGGAAGAAUGUCCCGGGACUGAACAGGUUCCGGGAGUGACGGUACCACCAGAGGAAGCACCGGCUAACUCCGUGCCAGCAGCCGCGGUAAUACGGAGGGUGCAAGCGUAAUUCGGAAUUACUGGGCGUAAAGCGCGUGUAGGCGUGCCUGCAAGUCUGAUGUGAAAGCCCCGGGCUUAACCCGGGAAGUGCAUUGGAAACUGUGGGACUUGAGUACUGUAGAGGAUGGGGGAAUUCCCGGUGUAGAGGUGAAAUUCGUAGAGAUCGGGAGGAAUAUCAGUGGCGAAGGCGCCCAUCUGGACGGUAACUGACGCUGAGACGCGAAAGCGUGGGGAGCAAACA
RNAcentral lists this ribosomal RNA (428 nucleotides) under uncultured prokaryote. RNAcentral's name for it is "bacterial SSU rRNA". It matches the Rfam family "Bacterial small subunit ribosomal RNA", at positions 355 to 774 of the family's 1533-position model. The record is from RNAcentral.